Long non-coding RNA from Tachysurus vachellii, 1537 nucleotides. RefSeq lists it as uncharacterized. The transcript has 3 exons. The record is from RefSeq and is a predicted model, not a curated record. Lineage: Eukaryota; Metazoa; Chordata; Actinopteri; Siluriformes; Bagridae.
UUUACUUUUUUUCUGAAAAAAAAAAAAAAUACAAAAGAUUUUGGUCUUUGAUACAUCUAGUUUUUAAAACAUUUAGAUUUUUGGAAUAUUUAAGUUUAGUUAUGUGAUUAUCACAGACAUGAAAACUUGCCCUGAAAGGUACAUUCUCAUCUCUACUAAGAUGGCGUGGAUUAAAGCUCAGAGUUACUGUAGACAGUAUUACACAGACCUGACCAGCAUAAGAGAUGAAACAGAAUACUUAAUUAUAUAUGAUAUGGCAACUCCUUUAGAAACAUUGACUUGGAUUGGUCUGUUCAGAGACUCCUGGAAGUAGAUAGACCAAAGUAAAGUUUCUAAGAGCACCUGGACAACCUGACUAUAUACAAGAGAAAGAAUAUUGUGGUUAUUUAAAUAACCAUGAGACUGUAAAUGCACUCGGCUCAGACAUAAUGCCUUUCUUCUGUUACUCAGGUGAGUUAAAAUCUUAUUCCGUCUCAUCUGACUGCUCUCCAAAUGCAAUGUGUUAAUAGUUCUCAUAUCUGUUUUCUCAUGUGGUUUUCAUCAUUUCUACCUUCAGCAAACAAACGGCAACAAAUCUUGAAAUUGAAGGUUCGAUCCAAUCAGGAUGCAAAUAAUCCUGCAUUAAAGGUGGCCAUCAUGAAGCAAUAAAUCAAAAAAUAAAGUAUCAUGGAUGGCAGAGAUCAUCAGUGUGAAAUGGAGAGAGCAACCAGAUGGGGUGCCAUUUCAAAAGUGCCAGACCAGUGCCAUGGCUGUCUGUCCUUUACAGAUAUAUAAGAUCUUAUUUUAUCCUAACCUAAAGUAACAUAAAAUAGGAUAAUUUUAGAAGUAAAGAUGGAGGAAGUGGAGUGUAUUGUGUAGACCAUACUGUACUUACCUAAGUCCUUAGCUCUGUCUAUGUUUAAUGCAGCACCAGAAUCCGGGAGAAACAUUUUAUUGUGUACUGCAACAACUAUUUAUGGUCAAAAUGACAAUAAAAGCUUCUUGACUUGACUUGACUUCUUGACUCUUGAGCAUUAGCCUGACAUCUAGCCACCACCCACAAUCUAACUGUCAGGCAGAACAGCUCAACCAGGAAAUCGGCCGCUACCUCAGAACCUACUGGCACAGAAAACAGCAUCGAUGGAGUGAAUUUCUACAUUGGGAUGAAUGGGCUCAGAACAGAGACAAUAUUGUUCGUAGAUGCCCACACCACCCGUUCACAAUCGGGGAUCAGGUGUGGCUCUCUACUCGUAUCCUCAAACCAAAACUCCUCUGUCGGAAACUAAGCCCUCGCUUCAUUAGCCCAUUCCUAUAUCAGCAAACAAGUGAACUGUGUCACCUACAGACUCCAACUCCCCAAUCAGGAAAAUAACCGGGAGGAACGCCCCUCCUCCAGACAUUUACGGAUUUCCCACCUGUUGUGUUUGGGCAUUACUGGAUGCUGAAGGUGGCACCUUUAGAAUCUCAUGGACUGGAAGGGGUAUGGCUUAGAAAAACAAUCUUUCUCGUGUAAAGAUAUCCUAGACCCAGCUCUUACGGCGAGUUCCACCGAGUUCAC